This 677-nucleotide ribosomal RNA is filed under the name Salmonella enterica subsp. enterica serovar Offa. Its description in RNAcentral is "partial 23S ribosomal RNA". It matches the Rfam family "Bacterial large subunit ribosomal RNA", at positions 514 to 1190 of the family's 2925-position model. Lineage: Bacteria; Pseudomonadati; Pseudomonadota; Gammaproteobacteria; Enterobacterales; Enterobacteriaceae. The record is from RNAcentral.
GCGAAAAGAACCCCGGCGAGGGGAGUGAAAAAGAACCUGAAACCGUGUACGUACAAGCAGUGGGAGCACAGGUUUACCUGUGUGACUGCGUACCUUUUGUAUAAUGGGUCAGCGACUUAUAUUCUGUAGCAAGGUUAACCGCAUAGGGGAGCCGGAGGGAAACCGAGUCUUAAUUGGGCGUUAAGUUGCAGGGUAUAGACCCGAAACCCGGUGAUCUAGCCAUGGGCAGGUUGAAGGUUGGGUAACACUAACUGGAGGACCGAACCGACUAAUGUUGAAAAAUUAGCGGAUGACCUGUGGCUGGGGGUGAAAGGCCAAUCAAACCGGGAGAUAGCUGGUUCUCCCCGAAAGCUAUUUAGGUAGCGCCUCGUGAAUUCAUCUCCGGGGGUAGAGCACUGUUUCGGCUAGGGGGCCAUCCCGGCUUACCAACCCGAUGCAAACUGCGAAUACCGGAGAAUGUUAUCACGGGAGACACACGGCGGGUGCUAACGUCCGUCGUGAAGAGGGAAACAACCCAGACCGCCAGCUAAGGUCCCAAAGUCAUGGUUAAGUGGGAAACGAUGUGGGAAGGCCCAGACAGCCAGGAUGUUGGCUUAGAAGCAGCCAUCAUUUAAAGAAAGCGUAAUAGCUCACUGGUCGAGUCGGCCUGCGCGGAAGAUGUAACGGGGCUAAACCAU